AACGAACGCUGGCGGCAUGCCUAACACAUGCAAGUCGAACGAGAUCUUCGGGUCUAGUGGCGCACGGGUGCGUAACGUGUGGGAAUCUGCCCUUUGGUUCGGAAUAACAGUUGGAAACGACUGCUAAUACCGGAUGAUGACGAAAGUCCAACGAUGUAUCGCCAGAGGAUGAGCCCGCGUAGGAUUAGCUAGUUAGUGUGGUAAAGGCGCACCAAGGCGACGAUCCUUAGAUGGUCUGAGAGGAUGAUCAGCCACACUGGGACUGAGACACGGCCCAGACUCCUACGUGAGGCAGCAGUGGGGAAUAUUGGACAAUGGGCGAAAGCCUGUUCCAGCAAUGCCGCGUGAGUGAUGAAGGCCUUAGGGUUGUAAAGCUCUUUUACACGGGAUGAUAAAGACAGUACCGGGAGAAUAAGCUCCGGCUAACUCCGUGCCAGCAGCCGCCGUAA
RNAcentral lists this ribosomal RNA (449 nucleotides) under uncultured bacterium. Its description in RNAcentral is "partial 16S ribosomal RNA". It matches the Rfam family "Bacterial small subunit ribosomal RNA", at positions 29 to 523 of the family's 1533-position model. The record is from RNAcentral.